GCGGCGAUAGCUCAGUGGGAAAGCGCCAGGUGAGUAGAUGGCGAUUACUCCGGAGAGCUAUUAUCCGCGCGGGUUCGAAUCCUGCCUGUAGCU
This 93-nucleotide transfer RNA is filed under the name Aromia moschata. RNAcentral describes it as "tRNA-OTHER". The record is from RNAcentral. Lineage: Eukaryota; Metazoa; Arthropoda; Insecta; Coleoptera; Cerambycidae.